Molecule: ribosomal RNA, 456 nt
Filed under: uncultured bacterium
Lineage: Bacteria
Description: bacterial SSU rRNA
Rfam family: Bacterial small subunit ribosomal RNA
Source: RNAcentral
UACGGGAGGCAGCAGUGGGGAAUAUUGCACAAUGGGCGAAAGCCUGAUGCAGCUAUGCCGCGUGUAUGAAGAAGGCCUUAGGGUUGUAAAGUACUUUCAUCGGGGAGGAAAAACAAAACUAAUAAUUUUAUUUCUUGACGUUACCCGAAAAAGAAGCACCGGCUAACUCCGUGCCAGCAGCCGCGGUAAUACGGAGGGUGCUAGCGUUAAUCAGAAUUACUGGGCGUAAAGAGCACGUAGGUGGUUUUUUUAAGUCAGAUGUGAAAUCCCUGGGCUUAACCUGGAACUGCAUUUUGAAACUGAAAUACUAGAGUAUCGUAGAGGGAGGUAGAAUUCUAGGUGUAGCGGUGAAAUGCGUAGAUAUCUGGAGGAAUACCUGUGGCGAAAGCGGCCUCCUAAACGAAUACUGACACUGAGGGUGCGAAAGCGUGGGGAGCGAAACAGGGAUUAGAUACC